This is a long non-coding RNA of Juglans microcarpa x Juglans regia, 282 nucleotides long. RefSeq lists it as uncharacterized. NCBI's taxonomy places the organism in Eukaryota, Viridiplantae, Streptophyta, Magnoliopsida, Fagales, Juglandaceae. The record is from RefSeq and is a predicted model, not a curated record. The transcript has 2 exons.
GUUUGUAGAGCGUUUGAUUAGAGAGAGAGAGAGGUAGAGUAAGGUAGAGUAAGGUCCUGCUAUUUCGCACAGACCACUUGCAGUGGUAGCAAGCCAUCCAUGGCGAUUGUGAUGGGCGGACUGGGAGAGAGAAAGCAAAAGGGAAAGAGGGAGAGAGAGAGAGAGAGAGAGAGAGGGGGGGGGGGGGGAGGGGUCACUGGCUAACCAGAUAGCAUGCUACCCAGGGCAACAGAGAGACAAAAGAGCAAGAGAGAAGCAUUCAGGGAGAGAGAAUCAGGAGGA